CAGAGAGGAAGGGGGAGGGACCUGGAAGUUGCACUCUUUCAAAUUUUCAAGUAAAGUCCACUCUCUUCUCAAUCUUUCCUACUGCACCUUUAAGGUUAGCCUGACUUAAGUCUCCAGCAACAUUGAGCGCAGCAUCAGGAUAACCGAUGGUGGUCUGCAUUUGAUUGACAAUAACUCCCGUCCAACGCCUGUACAUUGGCUAGCAGGAUGCUUGGCAGAGAAGAUCCAUGUGGCCGGGACCGCAGCCAGUGUUUAUCCCCUCCACCUUUUUUUUGAUGUUUAUUCUGAUGUUUACAUUUGAAAACCUCAACCAGAGUUUACAAAAUGUACUGGCGCCAGGAAGCAGACUCCACACAUCAGAGGCUGCAUAGGGUCUGCUUAAUAACCCCCUCCCACUAGGCUGGUCUGGUGGGAGAAGUAUGGAACAAAAAGCAGCUGGAACCAGAUCCUGCCACUCCCAUCUGCCCUGCAAUCAUCUCAUUCCCCUCACCUGCGUUUCCUAACCCAUCUCCCCACCUGCACCUCAUUUCCUCAUCAGCCACUCUCUACAUAUACCGGUCCACUUCCUUUGGUCCUCUGUCAGUUAACCUGAAACUGCCUACCUGCCUCUCUGUCACCUGUUUACUUGUCUAACUGUACUUACCUAUAACCUAAUUUCCAUCAUUAAACCACUGAAAUCAUCCUGCCAUCUUGACUGUCUGCAUUUAUUUCAUCCAUAUCUAGAGUAUAUAGAGUGUGCUAAGAAUUGCUUGUGUUGUUAUUUUAUUAUGGGGAGGCAACACGCCACAAUUUUUACUGAAGUAUAUCAUAGGUAAUUCUACAGGGGAAAAUGGAAAAAAAUGUUAACAAUACAGCACCACUGUUGGUGGUGGACAGAGAGGCAGGAGACACAGAUAUGGAAACAGAUGGUGGUUUAUUUGGAUUACCGCACAGCCAACACAGUAUGCAGGUACGAGGUGAGGUUAUGGGUUAUCAAUAGGAGGAAUAAUGUCCACAGAUACUGUCCUUUGUCUAACUGGUUUGUUGAUAGUGGAUGGGUAGAUGUUCAAGUUUGUAGUCUUCCGACCACCCAAGGCGCUUCACACGCUACAUAUCACAUUCACACACUCACAAAGAAACUAACUAAUCAUUCACACAUUAAAUGUUACCUCAAAAUAAACAUCAAAUAUUUCCUCAAUAACCAAAACACAAUGUUCUCUCGUGGUAAACACAAC
Molecule: long non-coding RNA, 1214 nt
Organism: Siniperca chuatsi (mandarin fish)
Lineage: Eukaryota; Metazoa; Chordata; Actinopteri; Centrarchiformes; Sinipercidae
Exons: 4
Source: RefSeq, a predicted model, not a curated record